GCCAGGUAUGGUACCCCUUGCAAUCCUUGCUACCUGGGAGUAUGAGGUUGGUGGACUUACUUGAGCUCAAGAGUUCUGGGGCAUUAUAGGCCUAAAGCAGAUCAGGUGGCCACGCUAGGUUGGGCAACAAUAUAGUGAGUUUCCAGGAUUAAGAGGCUACUAGGUUCUCUAAGGAGGAGUGAACCAACCCAGGUUGGAAAUGGAGCGGGUCAAAGUUUCUCUGCCAAUCGAUAGAAGGCUCAUCCUGGGAGGGGCUACUGUACUUUCAGCCUCGUUGAAUAGGAAGACCCAGUCUAAA
This 298-nucleotide signal recognition particle RNA is filed under the name Vombatus ursinus (common wombat). RNAcentral describes it as "Metazoan signal recognition particle RNA (ENSVURG00010005692.1)". It matches the Rfam family "Metazoan signal recognition particle RNA". Rfam says of the family: The signal recognition particle (SRP) is a universally conserved ribonucleoprotein. It is involved in the co-translational targeting of proteins to membranes. Lineage: Eukaryota; Metazoa; Chordata; Mammalia; Diprotodontia; Vombatidae. The record is from Rfam by way of RNAcentral.